Molecule: long non-coding RNA, 4044 nt
Filed under: Homo sapiens (human)
Lineage: Eukaryota; Metazoa; Chordata; Mammalia; Primates; Hominidae
Description: long intergenic non-protein coding RNA 847
Source: RNAcentral
GGCGACGUGAUCAGAUGACCUGUGCGGGCGGCAGCCUCCUGCCCUCCUCCCCUUCGUGCGCCGGCUGGAGCGAAGAGUUCUUUUGACAGCCGUGAGCUUCCCCGCCAGGAACUUACUGGGGCUGCAUCACCCUAGAAACGUGGCUUUGGGCUGUGGAAACGCUGCCUCUGUGGAAGUCUCUCCUCGCGGGGGUGGACGGGUCGCUGCGCGCCCAGCGUUCUUCUGCGGUUCUCACAGCCCGCCGCCGCCGCCGCCUCGGGGACCUUUGCGGGGAGGCCUCAGGUCAGCGCCGCCCUUGCGAUGGCGGGAGAGCAGAGCGGCCCCAGGGCCUCUGAGCUCCGGCCCCGGCACGUCCCGCCCUCUCCUCCGCUUGCGGGAGCCGGGGCGCCUCGGAGGGAAACCUUCCGGACACAGGCCGGGAGAAGAGGGGCCGUGGCGCCAUCGCGCAGCUUCCUGGUUUCGGCCAUGUUUUUUUUUUUUUGAGACGGAGUUUCGCUCUUUUUGCCCAGGCUGGAGGGCAAUGGCGCCGUCUCGGCUCCCUGCAGCCGCCGCCUCCCGGGUUGAAGGGACUCUCCGGCCUCAGGCCGCGGUGUUCUUGUAAAUUAGAACCGGCCUAUGCGCCAAGCGCGGGUCUCGCGGCUGCGGAGAGAGGCCCAGCAGGGGGCGGGGACGCCGGGAGGCGGGGCCUGGCCGAGCUGCGCACACCCGGGUGGUUCUGGCUACGGGUACCCGGACCUGCCCAACGACCGUUCUCCAUUCCCGACCUCCGCACCCUACCCGGUCCGCAGGGCACCUUCCUCCUCUCUCUCAGGCACGUCCUCGACCUCAGUUGCCACGUGCACAUGCUGGUGCCUUCCAGGUCGGUCUUUCUCCACCAGACUCCACCUGGAACUUUCUUCCUUUUCGUCCUGUGCUGGCCUAACCCCUGCUCGGCCUCGGCCCUCAGCUGCCGGCUCUAACAAAGCCUCUGUCUUUCCCAGACCCCUGUGACCAGGCUGGAGUAUAGUGGCAUGAUCAUAGAUCACUGCAGCCUCAAACUCCUGGGCUCAAGCGAUCCUCCCACCUCAGCCUCCAUAUAGCUGGUGGGGACCAAGUUUCUAACACAUGAAUGUUGGGAGACACAUUCAGACCAUCGCAGUGGCCUUAUAAAAAGAGACACAAGAGCUUGCUCUCUGCCAUGUGAGAAUACCACAAGAAGACUGUCCUCAGCAAAUCAGAAAGCGGGUGGACCCUCAUCAGACACCAGAUGUGCCUGCACCUUGAUCUUGGACUUGCCAGCCUUCAGAACAGUAAGAAAGAAAUGUGUGUUGUUUAAGCCACCCAGUCUAUGGUAACUUGCUAUAGCAGCCCACUAGGAGACCCCAAGAUAUUUAAAAACUCAUCAGCACCUGCUUUCUGCAUCUGGACCCUGAUCUUCUGGCCAUCAGCUGGAUGAAGAAUUAAUUUAGUAAGCAUGAAACAGCUUGCAAAGCAUUGGUGAGUGGCUGAGGGCCAUGAAACGAGACCACCGUGUGGCCCAUCUCUGAAGAUGAAUCCAACAGCAGUGACUCUACCUGCGUCCUCCCCAUCUUUUCUGCUUUUUCAUACAAUGGCUUAUUCACUGCGUGUGACAUCAUCACUAGCACUGUGUUUAUCUAUCACAUUUCUUCUGUUUUGUGGGUUUGUUUUGCAUUAAAGGUCUACUUCUCUGAGCUUUGAGCUGUAAGGCUUGACUGUGAGCAGCAACUGAAGAGUGUGGCACCUCACACUCGGUAGGAAGAAGCUGAAUGACAGAUGUCGGCAGUGAGGGUGGGGAAAGCAGCCAGGUACCAAGCAGCUGUUUUUUAGGCUAACCAUUGAAGGGAAGCUCCUAAUCCCUGAGUUAACUUUUAGCAGAGAUUAACUCAGUCUAUCUAUUGGGAUGUAAAGGAUUUGGGCAUAAAGGUAUGUUAAUUCGGAGGCUCUGGAAUGUAUAACAAUUUCUCCCAUUGAAAUUUAUGAUAAUUAAGUGUUCAACUUACUGGAAUUUUCCCCACAAGACUCUUCUGGGAUGAAUUUGCCUUGGGGAGAAGACUACGUAACUGAAAACCAGCAUCCAGGCCCUCAAGAAGAAAUAUAAUCUCCAACAGUCUCCUUUUCAAUUUCUGUCAAAUGUCUGGCUUCUCUUGAAGGGAUGUUCACGAGAAGGGACAGCCGCCCUCCUCCGAGCCUCCUGUUUCAGCUGAUGCACCUUCAAGUACAAGGUCCUGUUCUUGGGCUCUGUUAAAGUUUCCCUCAAGAAAAAAACCUUACAUUUGCCAAUGCACUUGAUGUAAAGUUGUUGAGGAUGUUGACUCUCCUUUAAACAUUUAUUGAAGCUAGGAAUAAACUUAACUGGACCUGUGUAUAGGAAAUCUUAAAUUUCUACUAAGAGAUGAAAAAAAGAAUUCCCUUCCCUUCCUUAACAAUUCAGCUCCCGUUACACAAAACCAAACAAGAUGGGAUUCUGUUGUGGGGGGACAGAACUUCAUUGUCCUGAAGCUAGGUGUUGGAGCCCAAGCAGGGUGAGGAGGGAGUCAAGGAGGCCCAUGUGGUGGUGGAGCAUGGCCUGGCAUGGGUCUCAGUGCCCAAGCAAGGUGAAGAGGGGACCAUGCAGGGAGUGAGGGUGUCACUGCCCAAGUGAGGUGAGUAGGGCAAUUUUGAAAAGUCAUGAAAGUUGAGGAAGGGCUGAGGCACCAUUCUAGAUUGAAGGAGACUAAAAAGAUGCAACACUCACAAUGCACAAUUCUAAACUGAAAUCUUUGCUCUAAAGGACAUUAGGACAAUGAAAGAAACUUGCACGGGGUCUGAGCAUUAGGUAGUAGUAAUGAAUUGAUGUUGAGUCCCUAAUUUUCAUGGUUGUAUGCUGAUGAUGUAGGAGGUUCUUGUAGGAAAUACACACUCAAAAGUAUUCUGAGGUGAUGGGGCAUCAUAUCAGAAGCUUAUUCUCAAAUGGUUCAGGAAGGAAAAAGUUUUAUACUAUACUUCUUUGGCAAGUUUAGAUUGUUUCAAAAUAAAAUUUUUUUAAAAAGAGCAUUUGUUAACCAUCAGUUUGGUAAAAGGUGAAAAAUGUUGAUAAUACCUAGUGUUUGUGAAGGUGUGGAGAAACAAAGUUUCAUACACUAUUGUCAAAAGUAUAAAUUGUUACAAUAUUUUUGGAGAGCAAUUUUCCAGUAUGUAGCAAAAAUUUAAAAGCAAAUCUUAACUCAGCAAUUCUGCCUUUAGAAAUGUAUUUGUAGGAUAACAUACAGGAGAGAAAAAUGUAUUUUACUGCAACACUGUUGAUACUAACAAAAACUGGAAACCACCAAAACAUUUAUCAUGAGGGGGUUAAGUAAAGUAUGGUAUAACUAUACAAUGAGUGUACUAGGAAACCCUUAGAAAGAAUGCAGAAAGAUGUAUGUGGACUUUUACAGAAAGGUGAGCUACUGUCUAAAUGCAAAUGUGCCAAUAUCAUGUAUAUACAGUCAGGUUCCUUUUGUUAAAAACCAAAAGCGUAUGUUUAGAAGCAAAAGCACUCAUAUAAAGGCCUGGUAUAGAGCAGUGGCUAAAAACAGUGCCAAGAUACUGCCUCAACUUCCUCUCACAUGCUGCCCUGGUGAUACUGAGGCUGGUUCAGGAACCAUGACAGCCUGUUUGUAUGAAUUCCUUAAAGCACAAAUUACUUAGUUUCUUUCAUAACAGUCACCUAAUCCCUUAGUUUAAAAUGGUUGUGUUCAUGGAAUACUAUGCAGCCAUAAAAAAGGAGAUCACAUCCUUUGCAGCAACAUGAGUGGAGCUGGAGGCCAUUAUCCUAAGAGAACUAAUGCUGCAACGGAAAAACCAAAUACCGCAUGUUUUCACUUACAAGUGGGAGCUAAACAAUGAGAACACAUGGAUACAAAGAGGGGAAAAACAGACACUGAGGCCUACUUGAGGGUGAAGGGCAGGAGGAGGAAGAGUAUCAGAAAAAAUUCCUAUUGGGUACUAUGCUUAUUACCUGGGUGAUGAAACAAUUUGAACACCAAAUCCCUGUGACACAGUUUACCUACAUAACAAACCUGCACA